AAGAACAGCAUUAAAUGGGAUUUUUGCAAUAACAACAUCAAUAGCAAAAGCAUCACCAGAAAACAAUCACACUUUUUUUUCUCAAGCUCUCUUCCCAUCUGCUAUUGGCCGGUGAAGCAGACAGCGCUGAACCAAACUCACACCAGCGCUGCUUCGUCUGACAGAGGACGAGGCUCAAAAUUUGACUACCCACAAAGCCCUGCAUUCAGCAGACUCAUUCCUCACUCAGUCCCAUCAUCAGACCUCAUGGCAGGCUUUGAAGAAGAUGUGUGUUUACCUGAAGCUCCUGGCAGGAGAGAUAAGAGGCCUGUUUGGCAGAUGGUACGAGCCAUCAUCAGCGGACACAGCUGCAGCCCAGACCCUAACAAGCCUGGCGUUCGAGCAGGAUGGGCUUCAGGAACUGGUAUGGAGAGGGACUUUAGCAACAAUAUCCAUCGCCCAUCGUUCCCUCCAGCCAUCUGUGCCUGCAUCUGAGCCCGGCUGACAGGCUUCACACUUACAGAGUGUGAAAUUAGCAUGUGUGUGUGUGUGUGUGUGUGUGUGUGUGAGGAGCAAUGGGGGAGCUCCAUUAAAUCAGUCUGGUACGUGUGUGUUCAGGGUUGUGUGAAGGUGUCGUGACUGUGCGAGCGUGUGUUGGGUCUCUGUGGAAGACACAGGUGUUCAGGUUGACUCUCAGUGGCCCGGGAAGCACAAAGCCUGCGUUCGACGGGAAUCCGAUCUGCGACGGUCCUCCCCUGAAUUAUGUUAAUUAACCUUCGGCCCAGAACAUGAUUCUCCGGUAUCAGGGUGAGCUGUUCAUGUCAACAAAUGUCCAUAAUUGACUAUUGAACUUCGCUCAGUGGUUUGUGCAACCCGACCUCUUAACUGUGACCUCUGGUUUUUGACAUCUGCCUUCUGUGGGAAAUUAAUCACGGGUUAUGUUUGGAAUUAAAUGCUAGAGUAAUGCUUAAUGAAUACUGUGGCAUGUACACUGUAUACUGCUUUGUUUUUAAUAAAAGUAUGUAAAUGUAAUGUUACA
Long non-coding RNA from Cyprinus carpio (common carp), 1018 nucleotides. NCBI's taxonomy places the organism in Eukaryota, Metazoa, Chordata, Actinopteri, Cypriniformes, Cyprinidae. The record is from Ensembl.